GGGCCCGGGCGGGGUUUGGGUCUGGCUGGGAAGGGUGAAGUCGGUGAACUCGAACUCGGAGCCCUGCGUGUCCGCGCCGAGCAGCUCGGCCUCCUCCGUGUCCAGGAAGGGUAGAGCGUGGAAUGGGAACGAUGUCUGCCAAACUUACAGCUUUUAAGCUUAAAAGAUUUAAACGAAGAUUGGAAAGGAUCUCAAUGCACUGAGUACAAGAGGGGGAAACAAAGAUGGAGGGAGAAUACAGGAGUCACUGCAUCUGCUAACAUAUGGCAGCAGCCCCGUUGCUGUGCUCAUGGGCAGGAUUGUGCUGCUGUCUGAGGUGCUGAAGCCAGAGGGCCGCCAGGGGGUCCUGGAGAUCCCCAUAUACCCAGCGGUGUGCCCGGUGCCCCCGUUACACAAGUCAAAACUACACCCACAUGCACCAGAAAUGCAGCAACAAAGCACAGAUCUUGAAUUCACAAAGCACAAGCUAUGGAUUCACUGUUCCAUUGCAGAUAUUACAGUUCUGCUCAGCUACCACAAGAGGGACGUAGAAGGAAAGCUAAGAUAGCCCGGGAGAAAAAAACAAAUCGAAAGAGCAGCUUCAUGCAGGUUCAGCUGCACUGUGGCUAUAAAAAAGUAUUCCUGAAGCAAACUGGAUAAGUACUUUAAAGCAAUGGAGGAAAAGGAGGAGAAGAUCUUGACAUUUCUUCAGUGAUCUCGGAUGAAGAAGAUACUUAGAUAUUAAGACAGCGCUAUGAUGACACCACGUCUGACGUAUUUUGGAAGGGGAUUAUCAGUCUGAGACCCAGGAGUGGAGAAUAUCUGAUGGUGCUAUGAUCUGUCUACAGAUGACAAAGUUCUGGACCAUAUUUUCAGUGAAGAACAAUGCUCAGGGUGAUUUUGUAUCCAAGAUCUCGUGUUUCAGCCUUUCUUCACAUAGACCUCAGACUUAUAGAUUUUUCACUAGUCCUGUCGCUGGCCUUGUCUCCUACUGUUUCUGAUGAGUCCUCAGAUGGAGCUACCAGUAUCCAAGUAAUGCAGCAGUCUUCCUCAGAAGAAUAUUGUGGCAAUGAAGACUGAAGCAUUUGUCGUGUUGGCUAUUUAAGAACAAAAAUAGUGGAAAACCCUGAGUCAGGUCAUGCUGGUUCUGUCACUGGUGUUGGUUGAGAACUAAGAGUUAAGGAUAAAACAGAGUUGGAAUGUGUUUUCAGCUCAUCUGCCUUUUAUGUGGGAGUUCUCCCUCAGAUGUUGGAAAUCAUCUCUGCAGCUUUUUUUCAUAAACCGUUUUCAGCUGUUUCUAUACCCUAUCUUAAAGUUGUUGAUGUUUUCUCACAUUCUAGAACUCUUAAGAAAUUGUUCAAGAAAACUGAUGUCCCCUUAGAAGUCAGAUUUUCAUACACAGAAAGGAUAAAAGAAAUCAAAUUCCUAAUAGUGUUGCAGGAAUGAGCAGGGAAGUUGACCCUUCUGAGCUCUAAUCUUCAAGGAUGGCCUCACUUUCUGUACUGUAAUGCAGUGACUUCCUCACAGGGGACUUCCCUGUCACAGGGCUCUAAUUGAUUUGAUGCUGCAGUUGUGGCCAGUGUUAUGUCAUUCUGCUUAUAGCCACAGUAGAUUGCAUAACUGUUUUUUAGUUCAUAUAAAUGACUUUACUGGUAUUACUCAAAUUCCAUUAGUAGAGUAGAAAACAAGGAGAAUUAAUGAUAAAGUUAACGUAAUGCACGAUGGAGCCAUGUCCAUUUAUUAUAUUU
Gallus gallus (chicken) is the source of this 1727-nucleotide long non-coding RNA. RefSeq lists it as uncharacterized. NCBI's taxonomy places the organism in Eukaryota, Metazoa, Chordata, Aves, Galliformes, Phasianidae. The transcript has 6 exons. The record is from RefSeq and is a predicted model, not a curated record.